This 484-nucleotide ribosomal RNA is filed under the name uncultured bacterium. RNAcentral's name for it is "partial 16S ribosomal RNA". It matches the Rfam family "Bacterial small subunit ribosomal RNA", at positions 28 to 523 of the family's 1533-position model. The record is from RNAcentral.
GAUGAACGCUGGCGGCGUGCUUAACACAUGCAAGUCGAACGGUGAAGCAGGAGCUUGCUCUUGUGGAUCAGUGGCGAACGGGUGAGUAACACGUGAGCAACCUGCCCCUGACUCUGGGAUAAGCGCUGGAAACGGCGUCUAAUACUGGAUAUGUGAUGUGACCGCAUGGUCUGCAUCUGGAAAGAAUUUCGGUUGGGGAUGGGCUCGCGGCCUAUCAGCUUGUUGGCGAGGUAAUGGCUCACCAAGGCGUCGACGGGUAGCCGGCCUGAGAGGGUGCCGGGCACCAGUGGGACUGAGACACGGCCCAGACUCCUACGGGAGGCAGCAGUGGGGAAUAUUGCACGAUGGGCGGAAGCCUGAUGCAGCAACGCCGCGUGAGGGAUGACGGCCUUCGGGUUGUAAACCUCUUUUAGCAGGGAAGAAGCGAAAGUGACGGUACCUGCAGAAAAAGCACCGGCUAACUACGUGCCAGCCGCCGCCGUAA